This 839-nucleotide ribosomal RNA is filed under the name uncultured bacterium. RNAcentral describes it as "bacterial SSU rRNA". It matches the Rfam family "Bacterial small subunit ribosomal RNA", at positions 57 to 903 of the family's 1533-position model. The record is from RNAcentral.
GCAGUCGAGGGGUAUAGGUUUUCGGACCUAGAGACCGGCGCACGGGUGCGUAACGCGUAUGCAAUCUACCUUUCACAGAGGGAUAGCCCAGAGAAAUUUGGAUUAAUACCUCAUAGUAUUACGAGAUGGCAUCAUUUUGUAAUUAAAGUCACAACGGUGAAAGAUGAGCAUGCGUCCCAUUAGCUUGUUGGUAAGGUAACGGCUUACCAAGGCUACGAUGGGUAGGGGUCCUGAGAGGGAGAUCCCCCACACUGGUACUGAGACACGGACCAGACUCCUACGGGAGGCAGCAGUGAGGAAUAUUGGUCAAUGGACGCAAGUCUGAACCAGCCAUGCCGCGUGCAGGAUGACGGUCCUAUGGAUUGUAAACUGCUUUUGCACAGGAAGAAACAACAUUACGUGUAAUGUCUUGACGGUACUGUGAGAAUAAGGAUCGGCUAACUCCGUGCCAGCAGCCGCAGUAAUACGGAGGAUCCAAGCGUUAUCCGGAAUCAUUGGGUUUAAAGGGUCCGUAGGCGGUUUAGUAAGUCAGUGGUGAAAGCCCAUCGCUCAACGGUGGAACGGCCAUUGAUACUGCUAGACUUGAAUUAUUAGGAAGUAACUAGAAUAUGUAGUGUAGCGGUGAAAUGCUUAGAGAUUACAUGGAAUACCAAUUGCGAAGGCAGGUUACUACUAAUGGAUUGACGCUGAUGGACGAAAGCGUGGGUAGCGAACAGGAUUAGAUACCCUGGUAGUCCACGCCGUAAACGAUGGAUACUAGCUGUUGGGAGCAAUCUCAGUGGCUAAGCGAAAGUGAUAAGUAUCCCACCUGGGGAGUACGUUCGCAAGAAUGAAACUCA